GAUGAACGCUGGCGGCGUGCCUAAUACAUGCAAGUCGAGCGAACGGACGAGAAGCUUGCUUCUCUGAUGUUAGCGGCGGACGGGUGAGUAACACGUGGAUAACCUACCUAUAAGACUGGGAUAACUUCGGGAAACCGGAGCUAAUACCGGAUAAUAUUUUGAACCGCAUUGUUCAAAAGCGAAAGACGGUCUUGCUUUCACUUAUAGAUGGAUCCGCGCUGCAUUAGCUAGUUGGUAAGGUAACGGCUUACCAAGGCAACGAUGCAUAGCCGACCUGAGAGGGUGAUCGGCCACACUGGAACUGAGACACGGUCCAGACUCCUACGGGAGGCAGCAGUAGGGAAUCUUCCGCAAAGGGCGAAAGCCUGACGGAGCAACGCCGCGUGAGUGAUGAAGGUCUUCGGAUCGUAAAACUCUGUUAUUAGGGAAGAACAUAUGUGUAAGUAACUGUGCACAUCUUGACGGUACCUAAUCAGAAAGCCACGGCUAACUACGUG
RNAcentral lists this ribosomal RNA (497 nucleotides) under uncultured bacterium. RNAcentral's name for it is "partial 16S ribosomal RNA". It matches the Rfam family "Bacterial small subunit ribosomal RNA", at positions 28 to 507 of the family's 1533-position model. The record is from RNAcentral.